Long non-coding RNA from Aegilops tauschii subsp. strangulata, 2367 nucleotides. RefSeq lists it as uncharacterized. NCBI's taxonomy places the organism in Eukaryota, Viridiplantae, Streptophyta, Magnoliopsida, Poales, Poaceae. The record is from RefSeq and is a predicted model, not a curated record.
UAAAAGUUUGUGCACUUUUGUUUUCCAUUUGCAUGAACUUAUUUGAAUACAUGAACAUUUGUUACAUUGGCCAACUUUUUUAUGCAUGUCCGUCAACUUUACAAAAAAAAUUACAUUUUUUCCAUACAUUCACGUUUAUGUUCGUCAACUUUACAAAAAAAAUUCAUACAUUCACGUUUUUCAUCAAAGUUUUCAAAUAAUUCAAAAAUCUAAGGGAGAUAAGUAGCGCUGCCAUACUGGUUCGUAAACAAAGUCCUGCUGAAGUGAAACAGUAGCAGCUAGUUGGUGUACUGGUUCGCUGAACUUGAAGACCUCUGUGAGGUCGCGUGUUUGAUUCACAGGGGCUAUCUUUUUAGAUGUUUUUUGCACAAUAAUACAUUUUUUUCUCCAUGCGUGUUCGUGUGGGCCGGUCUGCCAGGAGCUGCCGCCUGCGGCAGCUGCCUUUGGCGGCGCUGAAGGCGCUGAGUAGGCGCUCCCGGGUCAUUGUCCAUGUCCCAGCAUGUUUGCGCUGGUAUUCCCGCCUUCUCAUGAAGCCACAUCACUCGAAUUGUUAUAGCCGUUGAUGCAAUAGUUUGCAGCCGUCAGAUCGAAAGUUGACAAAAUUACUUGGAGCUGCCACCGCUAAGUGGAAAUACCCUUCGUUGUUUCGAGCCGUCUCGCUCGCUGCCUGCGUCUUACUGGAUUUCUUUUGGUUGGGUUGUACAUGUACAGCAAAGCCUAUUUUUUGGACACUAAGGGCAUCUCCAACAGGAGAUGCUAAGAGGGGACGCUAGGAAUUUAUUCCCGGCAGAUCGGAGGUUACGUUGUCGAAUCCCAGCGCCUCGUCUGGCAUCGGUGCAAAGGAAGGCACCGAGCGCUUGCUCAGUUUUUAACGUACGAGAGAACUGGGCCUUUCUUUCUAAUCUGUUAUUCAAGAGCCCGUUAUUAGCGCCAACGUUGGAGGAGCGAGCGCUAACGUCCUUGGAUAUUUUUUUUCCCACACGAUAAGCGCCUGCAUAAGCGCUCAGCAUUGAAAAUGCCCUAAAAGGCCCGUUCACACCGGGCACGACCCACCCUUCCUUUUAUCUCCAAAAAAAAAACUGAACGAUCCUUCCGUCCAGCCGCCGCCAUGAGCCCCUCCGGCGACCGUGCCAGGAUCCACCCUUCCCUGGCCAGAUGUUGCCGUACCUAAUCCUCUACCAGCAGCCGGCACCACCCUUGCUUGCCCCCACCCAGCCGUCGCGGCUAACCCCUUCGUCGUCGCCGUCGUCGUUCCCCGGCGAGCAACCUCUCUAGAGAUGCGUCAUCCAGCCACUGCCGGCAUGGAUUCCGCCGCCACGGCUCACCCUCUCCCAGCACAGCCAACACGAGAUGCUCCUCCCGGUCAGUCACCGAAGGUAACCUUACGCCGCCACGCCCAACGGCCCCCUUCCAGUAACCGCCGCCAGCCCUUCCGUUGCUCGACAGGUGAGCAUUAACUCCAUCAUAUUCGUCCAUCUUCCCGCUGCCGCUUUUAUGUCGUAAUCCCUUCCACCUCAAUGCCACAAAUGCACAUGAAACUGCCCCGCACCACUCAAUCAGCAGAAACGGAUGGAUUCAUGUCAAAAGAAGAAACUGAUGGAUUUAUUGCUCCCUCCUCAUGAAGGGUAAUCGACCCAGUGGCUCUCCCUUUUAAGCAGUGGAGUUGAUCCCUUCCCAUCCCAUCCACAAAUUCGUGCUGGUCCAGAGUCACUUCCCCUCGCCGGGUUCACAUCGCAGGCUUCUCCUCGAGGCGUCCGCAGAUCCCCCCCGGUGCGCUACAGCUUGCCACUUACCUUUUCAACGAAGGGUGGCAGCCAGUACAAAUGGAGAACCGGAGCGACAGGUACUCCUACUGAAAUUAGUAUGAUAUAUAUUUUCAUUCCACUUCUUACCCUGAUUGACAACAUACUCCUAUCUUCUCAAGGACGCCACCUAAUUUUGUAAAAAGUUAAUUUGCCAUGUUCUACCGCCGUUUCAAUAAGAGAAGCUCGGAAGAAAUACAUGGACGCAAUUGCAAAGAUGAAGGGCACAAAAGACCCGACGUUUAUAACUUUCAAACAGGAGUCCAAGCCUCAACACAUCGCUAACCAACUAUCUGGUGACCAUGCAUUAUCAUCCAUUGGAUACAUUGUUGAGUAUGAAAAGAAUGGGAUACCAUAUAUUCAGGUCAUAGUAACUGAAAAAGGCACACCUACAAACAACAUAAAAUAUAUCGAGUAAGAAUAUAGUACAUGCUACAAGCUGUUACAGUUUUAUCAUAUGGUAUAUAGUUCAUGCUACAAACUGCUACGGCUUGGUACAUAUUUGUACCAACAAUAAAUUUCAGUCAUUUCGUAUAUAAGAAAUCUAUUAUUUUAUGGAUUGAAA